Molecule: long non-coding RNA, 1395 nt
Organism: Trachemys scripta elegans
Lineage: Eukaryota; Metazoa; Chordata; Testudines; Emydidae
Exons: 15
Source: RefSeq, a predicted model, not a curated record
UAGUUUGGCGGGGACCAUGAUUGCCGCUGCACUGUCACGUGACAGCGUUUCGAGGCGGACAUAUAUACCAGUGGCACCGCCUCCUUCUUCCCUUUUGCUGAGCCGGUGCGUGCGGUACAGGGGCCUGGCGGCUGGCCAUGAUACAUCAAGCAAGUUCUUCCCUCGCUGGUAAUUACAAAACUGCAGACCGAGACCUGAUGUCACUUGCUAAGGUUUUAAUGGAGGAAGUUGGAAGCCCCAUAGAAGGAAGAUUCUCUGGCCUGAAGCAUGAAUCCUGAUGAUGAAAGGCUGCAUAAAAUAGGUUGGCUUCGGAUGACCACCUGCCUGAUGUAUGGAGAUAAAAAUUCCAACUUGAACACAGUUCCAUAAUGUUUGCAGGGAGAGUAAAGCACAGGACACUUCAUACAAAGGCUUCCAGAGGGUGCUUGGGUAUCCUGACUGGGGUGACUUGGACGUACAGAGUGCCGUUAUUAGCAGUGGUCCUGGCCCUGUCUUGAAUAAAUUUGGCAUUAAUAUUAGAAGAUGAUGGAUGAUCAAGACAGCAUUUCAAGUGAGAGGGCUGGAGUGCACUCCUGGAAAAAGGAUCACUUUGCUGAGAUCCAGACUUAACACGGCUACCCCUCUGAUACUUGUAAUAUAGGUGUGCUCAUUUUUAGUCAUGAGAAUAGAAGAAUUACCAGACAUGAACUUGAUAUGAGUAAAGUUGGUCAAACAGUCAGUGAAGCAGUCAGCCCUCUGCCUGCCUGAGAGGGAGCAAAAUUGGUUUUAAUGGACAGUUGAGGAACCAGAAAGUGUGAAGAUGUCAGAUUGUGUAUCCAACGACUCCUAAGUUGGUUUGUGUGUGGGGGGGUGGUGGUGGUGGGUUUUUUUUGCACAGAAGACCGUGCCCUUGCUUCUGAGGUGUUUGGGCAUAGUCAUGGAGGGGCCAGAGUCAGUCCUGCAGCAGUGGGUGUGUCAAGCUGGAGGGAAGCAGUCUCUCUGCCACCCCAUUUAGAUGAUCAGUUUGGCCUGGAGUCCUUGCUCUGCAGUCCUGCCUGCACUCAGAGCCCACCAGGGCCUUUUAAGGGGCUUGCAAGGGUGUUGAAAGGACAGAUGGGGCGGCAGUGCUUGCUGUGUUCUACCCUUGCCACAAAAGGUGACAUGACUUCUGGAUGAAGAGUCCUACAAAUUUGUCAGAAAAGAUUAAGUUCAGAAUGUCUUGUAGAAGCAUGUGACAAGUGGGGCAACACUGAUACACACUUUGGUCUCUUCUUAAAUAUCCAAUUAAGAAACGAGACUUGCUCUAAACUUAAACUUUUGCCAUGUGUCUUUUAACCAGCACUAAGUAGACUUUAGAAGUAAAAUAGCUGUCUAACAAAUUGAAAUGUGCUAAAAUAAACUAAUCAAAAAUAACUA